AGCUUAAAUAUUGAACUUAGUUCGCAUAGAGCUCAAACUUGUACCUUGGAAACCAGUCCCUCAACCUUUCCAGAUGAGCUAAUCCCUAAUAAAUUUAAUAAGAAUAAUUCGUCUUUUAAAGUUACUAAAUCAAUCCUUUGUUCUACAAAAGUGUUAACCAAUAAUGACUACAUCCAUAAUUUCUCCUGCGUGGUUCUUUAAAUACCAUGUUGCUCUAACUCUUCAA
This 226-nucleotide unclassified non-coding RNA is filed under the name Hevea brasiliensis (rubber tree). The record is from RNAcentral. Lineage: Eukaryota; Viridiplantae; Streptophyta; Magnoliopsida; Malpighiales; Euphorbiaceae.